GUCUGGCAAAUCCUACAUCAAAGGAAGAAUGUGAUUAAAUAAUUUACUUCAUGGAAAAGUGCGAAUUUUACAUACUGCCAGGAAGCACUUUCAAUCCCUGUCUGAUGUGCAGAAUUCAUAAACAUCACCAAGGAGAUCUGGCAGUCAUAACCACUUUGCACUUGCUCAGCCUCACUCUUCAUCAAGCUAAACCACCUUCAAGUCUCCAUCAUUCUGUCACACCACAGAACAAACCCACUUCCAACCACCUCCUGCAAACCCACACUGCUCACACAUCUAUG
Non-coding RNA from Pelobates cultripes (western spadefoot toad), 281 nucleotides. NCBI's taxonomy places the organism in Eukaryota, Metazoa, Chordata, Amphibia, Anura, Pelobatidae. The record is from the annotation of a GenBank genome assembly.